AUUGAACGCUGGCGGCAUGCCUUACACAUGCAAGUCGAACGGCAGCAUGGAGAGCUUGCUCUCUGAUGGCGAGUGGCGAACGGGUGAGUAAUGCAUCGGAACGUACCGUGUAAUGGGGGAUAACGUAGCGAAAGUUACGCUAAUACCGCAUACGACCUGAGGGUGAAAGCAGGGGAUCGCAAGACCUUGCGUUAUACGAGCGGCCGAUGUAGGAUUAGCUAGUUGGUGAGGUAAAGGCUCACCAAGGCGACGAUCUGUAGCGGGCCUGAGAGGAUGAUCCGCCACACUGGGACUGAGACACGGCCCAGACUCCUACGGGAGGCAGCAGUGGGGAAUUUUGGACAAUGGGGGCAACCCUGAUCCAGCCAUGCCGCGUGAGUGAAGAAGGCCUUCGGGUUGUAAAGCUCUUUCGGCCGGGAAGAAAUCGCACAGGCUAAUACUCUGUGUGGAUGACGGUACCGGCAUAAGAAGCACCGGCUAACUACGUGCCAGCCGCCGCCGUAA
RNAcentral lists this ribosomal RNA (504 nucleotides) under uncultured bacterium. RNAcentral describes it as "partial 16S ribosomal RNA". It matches the Rfam family "Bacterial small subunit ribosomal RNA", at positions 30 to 523 of the family's 1533-position model. The record is from RNAcentral.